Small nuclear RNA from Dermacentor silvarum, 187 nucleotides. RefSeq annotates it as U2 spliceosomal RNA. Lineage: Eukaryota; Metazoa; Arthropoda; Arachnida; Ixodida; Ixodidae. The record is from RefSeq and is a predicted model, not a curated record. The transcript has a single exon.
AUGGCCGACGCGGGUCAAAGUGUAGCAUCUGUUCUUAUCAGCUUAAUAUCGGAUACGGGUUGUAUUUGGACCGAAGAUAAUAAAAUUUUGUUUGCAGGUGGGCGGAGUACGUGCUUGAAGCCUGCUUCACCUCCGCCGCGGGUCGGCCCGGUAUUGCACUAUCUUCGGGAUUUUUUGUCUACGGACA